Molecule: ribosomal RNA, 253 nt
Filed under: uncultured bacterium
Lineage: Bacteria
Description: partial 16S ribosomal RNA
Rfam family: Bacterial small subunit ribosomal RNA
Source: RNAcentral
UACAGAGGGUGCAAACGUUGUUCGGAAUUACUGGGCGUAAAGCGCGUGUAGGCGGCUGUGCAAGUCGGAUGUGAAAUCCCGUGGCUCAACCACGGAAGUGCACCCGAAACUGCGCAGCUGGAGUCUCGGAGAGGAAGGUGGAAUGCUUGGUGUAGAGGUGAAAUUCGUAGAUAUCAAGCGGAACACCGGUGGCGAAGGCGGCCUUCUGGACGAUGACUGACGCUGAGACGCGAAAGCGUGGGGAGCAAACAGG